This 460-nucleotide long non-coding RNA is filed under the name Brassica napus (rape). RNAcentral's name for it is "long non-coding RNA (BNAP_LNC011269)". Lineage: Eukaryota; Viridiplantae; Streptophyta; Magnoliopsida; Brassicales; Brassicaceae. The record is from RNAcentral.
CUGGUGGGUUUGUUCGAAGACACGAAUCUCUGUGCCAUUCACGCCAAGAGAGUCACCAUCAUGCCUAAAGAUAUUCAAUUGGCUAGGCGUAUUCGUGGAGAGCGUGCUUAGAAGAAUCACAUCUCUCAUCUAGUACUUUUGAUUUCUUUCUGUUUGUUUGUUUGUUUUAAGCAUAAUGCUUUGGUGUUAUAAACCUCUCUUUGAGGCUUAAGAACAUAGAUGGAUUGAGUAAUUGAUGUUAUGACACACUCUAUUUGUUAACUCUUGUUUCUCUCUCUAUGUUGAGUUUAUUGUGCGACACCACUAUUCCAAAGUAGAACAAACUCAUCAUUUUGUCAAUAUGGUUAGUCUUUAGAAUCACAGAUAUACUAUUCGUUAGUCAUAUCAUAUGUAGUUCAGGAAGCGUUUUACAAGCGCUUGUGUGUGAAUUUUAAGUUCAAACUCAUAAAGCAUGCACAAG